Anas platyrhynchos (mallard) is the source of this 1701-nucleotide long non-coding RNA. RefSeq lists it as uncharacterized. The record is from RefSeq and is a predicted model, not a curated record. Lineage: Eukaryota; Metazoa; Chordata; Aves; Anseriformes; Anatidae.
UCCCCAGCACCAAAACCAAGCAGCGAAUUGGUGCUCCUUGUGCAGCUGUGGGUGGUUAAGCAGCAAAGCUCUCAGGGCCCCCUGACUGCCAUAGGGAGUGCUCCCAGCUGCAGCGGGGAGAGAAGCUGGGGCAGGAUGGGUUUGCUGGGGGGGCUUCUGCUGGUCCUGUGGUCCCAAGCAGCAGGCGAUAAUAAAAGCUGGAAAGCUGGUGGGGAGAAGAGGAGAAAUCCGCACGUAGAACCAGCGGACUGAUGGCUGACAACAAGUGCUUGUGAUUUACAACGGGGUAAUUUUCCAGCUGCCAUAGUUUGUGUUAGCACAAAUGAGAAUUGAUGGCAGCUUGAGUUAACAGUCUGUGCGGAGAGGAACUGGCACGUGGUGGCUUUGAUCUCCUCUGCCACAGGAGCAGCCUCUUCUCCAGCCACCCAGAAGGAGCUGGUGAGCUCUGGCCCUGCAGCUGCCUGGACAACGUGGGAAAGGUGCGCAAGUGUUGGAGCAAUCCCUGGAAAGGACUGAGUGGAGCAGAGCCUAGGGUGGCUGGGAGAAAACUUCCUCUUGCUUUCCCUUCAUUCCUCCACGUGCUCUUUCUUUCCAGCCCCAACGCUUUGCUCCUCUGCUAUGCAGGUCACCCCAAACCCUGUCUGUGUUACGCCACUUCUGUAUCGUGCCCUGCUCCACAAAGCACUGGUGGAACAGUGGAAGAUGGUAAAUAUAUGCCAAGAUGUGAUGUGUUGCCAAGCAUCAGGAUGAUGUUGAGCCUAUUGGACAAGGACCCAAAUGGACUGCAUGGUGGUUUGAAGCAGGAUUAAAAAACAAAAGUCUGUGCCCCUCUUCUUUGCUAAUUGCCAGGGGAUAUUUGGGGGACUCCACCUAGCCCUGUCUCUGUGAGGAUACAGAGGCUAGGGCAGGAACACUGUCCCUGCGGAGCUGGAGUAAGGUGGAUGCUGUGGUCAUGGUGGUGCCCACCUGUGUGCAUGGGGCUGCCUGGCAGCAAUGGAGUGGUGAUCAGUGGGGUACUAACAUAGUGCAUGGGGAGAGCAGCACCAAACGUGGGGCGGGCUGAGGCUGUGUAUGGUUCCUAGGCUGGGCAGGAACAGUACAGUUACAAGUAAAGUACAUUGUUUAUAAUGUAAAUAUUCUUUUUUUUUAAGGUUUUCCCCAAAGUUCUUCAGUAGUUCUUAUUAGCAAAUAUGACACAUACCAGUCUCCGAAAAGUGGCAGUGAGAGGAGCUAGUGGGAAGAGUACGUAAAUAUGAAUUAUUUAAAAAAACAAAAAACAAACAAAAAACUUUAGAAGUUUAUUCUCUGGCUGUUUCUUGCCAUGGUAUCUGACUAACUAUCAUGUUACCAAAGGAGUGCACAAACCUGCAAGCCUUGCUGUUUGGAGUGUCUUGAUAGGUCUGCUUUUUUUUAUAUUUUAUGGAAAUAGAUACAACUUUGCUAUUAUCAGUCUGAUUCUCUUUUGAAUUUUGAAUUACUUUUUUUUUUUAACUAAUAGUCUGUUUUAUGUAAACCUCUUAGAGAUUAGGAGUUGAUUUCAAAGAUCAUCCUCUAUAAAGUCUCUUGAUCAUAUUUUAUGGUUCCUGUAACUCAUGGGUGUAAUCUCAUAUCCCUGGGAUAUUUAUGACAUGUUCGCCUAAUUCCCCAUGGUAGCUAAUCUCACUUCUCUACCUUAAAAAUAUUAAAAUAUCUUUAAAGCAA